RNAcentral lists this transfer RNA (75 nucleotides) under Chloroflexota bacterium. RNAcentral describes it as "Chloroflexi bacterium (rhizosphere metagenome) tRNA-Asn". It matches the Rfam family "tRNA". From Rfam's summary of the family: Transfer RNA (tRNA) molecules are approximately 80 nucleotides in length. Their secondary structure includes four short double-helical elements and three loops (D, anti-codon, and T loops). RNAcentral also lists the same sequence under 1 other name. The record is from RNAcentral. Lineage: Bacteria; Bacillati; Chloroflexota.
UCCCCGAUAGCUCAAUGGUAGAGCACCUGACUGUUAAUCAGGGUGUUCCAGGUUCGAGCCCUGGUCGGGGAGCCA